CUAGUGAUCAGAAGUGAGAAUGUUGACAUGAGUAGCGACAAACAGGGUGAGAGACCCUGUCGCCGAAAGUCCAAGGGUUCCUGCUUAAAGCUAAUCUGAGCAGGGUAAGCCGGCCCCUAAGGCGAGGCCGAAAGGCGUAGUCGAUGGGAACCAGGUUAAUAUUCCUGGGCCAGGAGAUGGUGACGGAUCGCAGAGCUAGUUCUUCCUUAUCGGAUUGGAAGGGCUGGUGAGUGGUUCCUGGAAAUAGCCCUCCAUGAGACCGUACCCUAAACCGACACAGGUGGACUGGUAGAGAAUACCAAGGCGCUUGAGAGAACCACAUUUAAGGAACUCGGCAAAAUACCUCCGUAAGUCCGCGAGAAGGAGGCCCCGUUGGCAGGCAACUGUUGGCGGGGGGCACAAACCAGGGGGUGGCGACUGUUUACUAAAAACACAGGGCUCUGCGAAGUCGUAAGACGACGUAUAGGGUCUGACGCCUGCCCGGUGCCGGAAGGUUAAAAGGAGAUGUGCAAGCAUUGAAUUGAAGCCCCGGUAAACGGCGGCCGUAACGAUAACGGUCCUAAGGUAGCGAAAUUCCUUGUCGGGUAAGUUCCGACCUGCACGAAUGGCGUAACGACUUCCCCGCUGUCUCAAAUGUGGACUCAGCGAAAUUGAAUUGUCUGUGAAGAUGCAGACUUCCCGCGGUUAGACGGAAAGACCCCAUGCACCUUUACUAUAGCUUCGCACUGGCAUCAGGAUUGUGAUGUGCAGGAUAGGCGGUAGGCUUUGAAGCGGGAACGCUAGUUCCCGUGGAGCCAUCCUUGAGAUACCGCCCUUCGCACUCUUGAUGUCUAACCGCGGCCCGUUAUCCGGGUCCGGGACCCUGCGUGGUGGGUAGUUUGACUGGGGCGGUCGCCUCCCAAACAGUAACGGAGGCGCGCGAAGGUUGGCUCAGACCGGUCGGAAAUCGGUCGUUGAGUGCAAUGGCAGAAGCCAGCCUGACUGCAAGACUGACAAGUCGAGCAGAGACGAAAGUCGGUCAUAGUGAUCCGGUGGUCCCGAGUGGAAGGGCCAUCGCUCAACGGAUAAAAGGUACGCUGGGGAUAACAGGCUGAUGAUGCCCAAGAGUCCAUAUCGACGGCAUCGUUUGGCACCUCGAUGUCGGCUCAUCUCAUCCUGGGGCUGGAGCAGGUCCCAAGGGUAUGCUGUUCGCCAUUUAAAGAGGUACGUGAGCUGGGUUUAGAACGUCGUGAGACAGUUCGGUCCCUAUCUGCCGUGGGUGUAGGAUACUUGAGAGGAGUUGCCCCUAGUACGAGAGGACCGGGGUGAACGUUCCACUGGUGGACCAGUUGUCGUGCCAACGGCAGUGCUGGGUAGCUAUGAACGGACAGGAUAAACGCUGAAGGCAUCUAAGCGUGAAGCCCCCCUCAAAACCAGGUAUCCCUUGAGAGCCGUGGAGGACCACCACGUCGAUAGGCCGGAGAUGUAAGCGCAGCAAUGCGUUCAGUUGACCGGUACUAAUGGCUC
Molecule: ribosomal RNA, 1506 nt
Filed under: metagenome
Description: bacterial LSU rRNA
Rfam family: Bacterial large subunit ribosomal RNA
Source: RNAcentral